UAAGCUAUUAAGGGCUAACGGCGGAUGCCUUGGCAUCGGAAGGCGAUGAAGGACGUGGCAAGCUGCGAUAAGCUUCGGGGAGUUGUUAACAGGCUUUGAUCCGGAGAUUUCCGAAUGGGGAAACCCGACAGGAGUUAUAUCCUGUCAUCUGUUACUGAAUACAUAGGUAGCAGAGGCGAACGCGGGGAAUUGAAACAUCUAAGUACCUGCAGGAAUAGAAAUCAAAAGAGAUUCUGUGAGUAGCGGCGAGCGAAAGCGGAACAGCCCAAACCGGUAAAUUUAUUUACCGGGGUUGUAGGACCCCAAUGUGGGAUUGAAAAUGUAUAGCGGAACAGUAUGGAAAGGCUGACCAGAGACGGUGAUAGUCCGGUACGCGAAAUGCAGUUUCACCCUAGGGAGUUCCUGAGUACCACGAGACACGUGAAACCUUGUGGGAAUCUGGGAGGACCAUCUUCCAAGGCUAAAUACUAACCGAUGACCGAUAGUGAACGAGUACCGUGAGGGAAAGGUGAAAAGAACGGGGGAACCCGAGUGAAAUAGAAACUGAAACCGUUAGCCUACAAGCAGUGGAAGCACUAUGUAUUUAUACAGUGUGACCGCGUGCCUUUUGCAUAAUGAGUCAACGACUUACCCUGUGCAGCGAGGUUAAGCCGCGAGGUGGAGCCGCAGCGAAAGCGAGUCUUAAUAGGGCGAAUGAGUUGUAUGGGGUAGACCCGAAGCCGGGUGAUCUAUCCAUGGCCAGGGUGAAGUCUCGGUAACACGAGAUGGAGGCCCGAACCGAUAUAGGUUGAAAACUGUUCGGAUGAGCUGUGGAUAGGAGUGAAAGGCUAAUCAAACUCGGUAAUAGCUGGUUUUCUCCGAAAUAUAUUUAGGUAUAGCCUCAUAUGAUGACUGACGGAGGUAGAGCACUGACAAGACUAGGGGUCCCACCGGAUUACCAACUCUUUUCAAACUCCGAAUGCCGUCAAGUUCAAGUAUGGGAGUCAGACUACGGGAGAUAAGUUCCGUGGUCGAAAGGGAAACAGCCCAGACCGUCAGCUAAGGUCCCCAAAUCUAUGCUAAGUGGGAAAGGAUGUGGAAUUGCAGAUACAACCAGGAGGUUGGCUUAGAAGCAGCAACCCUUUAAAGAAAGCGUAACAGCUCACUGGUCUAGUGAUACCGCGCCGAAAAUUUAACGGGGCUAAGCAUAGUACCGAAGCUACGGAUCGCGCCUUUGGCGCGAUGGUAGGAGAACAUUGUGGCCGCCUGAGAAGGUACACCGAAAGGAGUGCUGGAGGUUCCACAAGAGCUUAUGUUGACACGAGUAGCGAUAAUGAGGGUGAGAAACCCUCACGCCGAAAGCCUCAGGUUUCCUGUAGUCAAGUUAAUCUGCUCAGGGUUAGUCGGCCCCUAAGGCGAGGCCGAGAGGCGUAGUCGAUGGGAAACAGGUUAAUAUUCCUGUACCACUUUUCUGAUGUUAUGGUAAGGGGUGACGGAGAAGGUAAGGCCAUCCGGGCGUUGGUUGUCCCGGUUUAAGCGUGUAGACGGAGGACUCAGGCAAAUCCGGGUUCUUGUUAACGUUGAGGCGUGAUGACGAUGUCUUUGAGACAACAAAGUGGCUGGUUCCAUGCUUCCUGGAAAAUCCUCGUAUCUAGUCAGAGAUGUGACCGUACCGUAAACCGACACAGGUAGGCAGGUAGAGAAUACCAAGGCGCUUGAGAGAACUCUGGUUAAGGAACUCGGCAAAAUAGCACCGUAACUUCGGGAGAAGGUGUGCCUGCAUGGUGAAGUUAUUUACUAAUUGAGCCUGGUCAGGUUGCAGUGAAAUGGGGGGAGCGACUGUUUACUAAAAACACAGGACUCUGCGAAGUCGAAAGACGAAGUAUAGGGUCUGACGCCUGCCCGGUGCCGGAAGGUUAAGGGGACGUGUUACCCCG
Molecule: ribosomal RNA, 1916 nt
Filed under: Desulfomarina profundi
Lineage: Bacteria; Pseudomonadati; Thermodesulfobacteriota; Desulfobulbia; Desulfobulbales; Desulfobulbaceae
Description: Desulfobulbaceae bacterium KT2 partial 23S ribosomal RNA
Rfam family: Bacterial large subunit ribosomal RNA
Source: RNAcentral